UACAGGGGGUGCAAGCGUUGCUCGGAAUUACUGGGCGUAAAGCGUACGCAGGCGGACCGUUAAGUCAGGAGUGAAAGCCCGAGGCUCAACCUCGGAAAUGCUUUUGAAACUGGCGGUCUUGAGUACGGGAGAGGUGAGUGGAAUUCCUGGUGUAGAGGUGAAAUUCGUAGAUAUCAGGAGGAACACCGGUGGCGAAAGCGGCUCACUGGCCCGAUACUGACGCUCAUGUACGAAAGCGUGGGGAGCAAACAGG
Molecule: ribosomal RNA, 253 nt
Filed under: uncultured bacterium
Lineage: Bacteria
Description: partial 16S ribosomal RNA
Rfam family: Bacterial small subunit ribosomal RNA
Source: RNAcentral